GGCAUUUCCUCGCACCGAAGGAGGCGGAGGGGCAGACGUCCUAUCUAUCGGAUUCGUGGCCGCGGUCACCUCGCUCGCGUUGGACAGCACUACAGCACCACAGCAGAGACCCUCAUCCUCCUUCUGUCAGACAAGGAGGUCAAUUGGAGCGAGUGCAGAGGGACGCUGGUGCGGUGAGGAAGCCUUGCUAUGCCUUUUCAAGGAGGGAAGAUCAAGCAACCAACCAGGUUUAGCGCUGACGCAGAUAUAAACUACGGGACUUGUACAACAUGAAGUUGGAUCUUGUGGUGCUCGAGUACAGGUUGAUCAACCUGUGAAGUAUCUUCAACAUUUAUGGGCGCUGGAACUAAAUUGGUGUCCUGGUCUGUUUCAGCAUUUGUUUCAGCAUAUUAACAAUCAGUUGAAAUCAAGAUG
Molecule: long non-coding RNA, 414 nt
Organism: Lolium rigidum
Lineage: Eukaryota; Viridiplantae; Streptophyta; Magnoliopsida; Poales; Poaceae
Exons: 3
Source: RefSeq, a predicted model, not a curated record